GAAAGCCCAUCGCUCAACGGUGGAACGGCCAUUGAUACUGUUAAACUUGAAUUAUUAGGAAGUAACUAGAAUAUGUAGUGUAGCGGUGAAAUGCUUAGAGAUUACAUGGAAUMCCAAUUGCGAAGGCAGGUUACUACUAAUGGAUUGACGCUGAUGGACGAAAGCGUGGGUAGCGAACAGGAUUAGAUACCCUGGUAGUCCACGCCGUAAACGAUGGAUACUAGCUGUUGGAAGCAAUUUCAGUGGCUAAGCGAAAGUGAUAAGUAUCCCACCUGGGGAGUACGUUCGCAAGAAUGAAACUCAAAGGAAUUGACGGGGGCCCGCACAAGCGGUGGAGCAUGUGGUUUAAUUCGAUGAUACGCGNGGAACCUUACCAAGGCUUAAAUGUAGUUUGACCGAUUUGGAAACAGAUCUUUCGCAAGACAAAUUACAAGGUGCUGCAUGGUUGUCGUCAGCUCGUGC
RNAcentral lists this ribosomal RNA (462 nucleotides) under Flavobacterium sp. NH:F. RNAcentral describes it as "bacterial SSU rRNA". It matches the Rfam family "Bacterial small subunit ribosomal RNA", at positions 596 to 1065 of the family's 1533-position model. Lineage: Bacteria; Pseudomonadati; Bacteroidota; Flavobacteriia; Flavobacteriales; Flavobacteriaceae. The record is from RNAcentral.